RNAcentral lists this ribosomal RNA (450 nucleotides) under uncultured bacterium. RNAcentral's name for it is "bacterial SSU rRNA". It matches the Rfam family "Bacterial small subunit ribosomal RNA", at positions 29 to 524 of the family's 1533-position model. The record is from RNAcentral.
AACGAACGCUGGCGGCAUGCCUAACACAUGCAAGUCGAACGAAGCCUUCGGGCUUAGUGGCGCACGGGUGCGUAACGCGUGGGAAUCUGCCCUUAGGUACGGAAUAACUCAGGGAAACUUGUGCUAAUACCGUAUGAUGUCGAGAGACCAAAGAUUUAUCGCCUAGGGAUGAGCCCGCGUAGGAUUAGCUAGUUGGUGGGGUAAAGGCCUACCAAGGCGACGAUCGGUAGCUGGUCUGAGAGGAUGAUCAGCCACACUGGGACUGAGAUACGGCCCAGACUCCUACGGGAGGCAGCAGUGGGGAAUAUUGGACAAUGGGGGUAACCCUGAUCCAGCAAUGCCGCGUGAGUGAUGAAGGCCUUAGGGUUGUAAAGCUCUUUUGCCAGGGAAGAUGAUGACUGUACCUGGAGAAUAAGCCCCGGCUAACUUCGUGCCAGCAGCCGCGGUAAU